AGUAAGUUAUAAAAAUUUUUGAUAAAAAUUUUUCGAUUUAAUCACUUACUA
RNAcentral lists this transfer RNA (51 nucleotides) under Rhinotergum shaoguanense. RNAcentral's name for it is "tRNA-Ile". The record is from RNAcentral. Lineage: Eukaryota; Metazoa; Arthropoda; Arachnida; Trombidiformes; Diptilomiopidae.